This 440-nucleotide ribosomal RNA is filed under the name uncultured bacterium. Its description in RNAcentral is "bacterial SSU rRNA". It matches the Rfam family "Bacterial small subunit ribosomal RNA", at positions 338 to 771 of the family's 1533-position model. The record is from RNAcentral.
CCUACGGGGGGCAGCAGUAGGGAAUCUUCCGCAAUGGACGAAAGUCUGACGGAGCAACGCCGCGUGAGUGAUGAAGGUUUUCGGAUCGUAAAGCUCUGUUGCCAGGGAAGAACGCUUGGGAGAGUAACUGCUCCCAAGGUGACGGUACCUGAGAAGAAAGCCCCGGCUAACUACGUGCCAGCAGCCGCGGUAAUACGUAGGGGGCAAGCGUUGUCCGGAAUUAUUGGGCGUAAAGCGCGCGCAGGCGGCCUUGUAAGUCUGUUGUUUAAACUCGGGGCUCAACUCCGAGUCGCAAUGGAAACUGCAAAGCUUGAGUGCAGAAGAGGAAAGUGGAAUUCCACGUGUAGCGGUGAAAUGCGUAGAGAUGUGGAGGAACACCAGUGGCGAAGGCGACUUUCUGGGCUGUAACUGACGCUGAGGCGCGAAAGCGUGGGGAGCAA